AUUUUUAAAAAAAGAAGUCAACUCUAAAAACACCUUUUUAAAAGAAAGAAGCAACGUUAAAUAAAAGCUGCUAACAACAAUAAGAGAGCGCUCUCUUUCUGGGAUAAGCUGAGAGCUAAAUGCUAAAGCUUCCUCGCAUGGCACUAUGGGAAUGCGGCUUCCAUAAACAGCAGGUGCCACAACAAACAUGGCCGCCAUUAGCCGCGGCCUAGCAUGGAAUCUACAGAGAAUUAUAACAUGAUUAAAUUAUAAUUUGCACUAAAUACGCGACUGAAUACAGUUAUCAGUGAGAUGUAUGUAAAUGAUCCACUCCCUGUGUAUCACCUGAUUUCUACAACUGGCUUUACAUCCUGAAUGGAAGGUCAGGAUCUAAUACUUACUGUCCGCGGAGAGAGCGCGCGCGACCGUGAGACGCCUUUUUGUCCGCAUGAUAUGCCGCCUCCCGAGCCCAUGGUUUCGGGACCGGAU
This is a long non-coding RNA of Pangasianodon hypophthalmus (striped catfish), 468 nucleotides long. RefSeq lists it as uncharacterized. The transcript is spliced from 3 exons. NCBI's taxonomy places the organism in Eukaryota, Metazoa, Chordata, Actinopteri, Siluriformes, Pangasiidae. The record is from RefSeq and is a predicted model, not a curated record.